UACUAGAGUAGCACUCGCAUAUCAAUAAGCGGAGGAAAAGAAACUAACAAGGAUUCCCCUAGUAACGGCGAGUGAAGCGGGAAGAGCUCAAAUUUGAAAUCUUAAAGGGUUUCCCUUUACGAAUUGUAGUUUAAAGAAGUGUUUUCUGUUGAGGUUUUGGUAAAAGUUCUUUGGAAUAGGACAUCAUAGAGGGUGAGAAUCCCGUAUUUGACCUUUACUUUCAACUUCGUGAUACACUUUCAAAGAGUCGGAUUGUUUGGGAAUGCAGUCCAAAAUGGGUGGUAAAUUUCAUCUAAAGCUAAAUAUUGGCGAGAGACCGAUAGCGAACAAGUACCGUGAGGGAAAGAUGAAAAGAACUUUGAAAAGAGAGUUAAACAGUACGUGAAAUUGUCAAAAGGGAAGCGUUUGACACCAGUGUUGUUUUUCUGAAAAUCAAUUAAAGAACUGUUUAUGCUAAGCUGUUUAGACUUUAUCAGCUAACUGUUUAGUUUUGAGCUUUUCUUUAAUGCACUUUUCAGUUAACAAGUCAACAUCAAUUUCUUUUGCUGUAAAAAAGCUUGAGGAAGGUGGCUUGAGAUUCGUCUUAAGUGUUUAUAGCCUCUUGCCUAUGCAGUCGGAGAGAUUGAGGUCUGCAGCGUAGAUCCUUCGGGGCUAAAUGCAUUUGUGCUAAGUUAUAGCAUUUUAUAGACAACUUGUUGACUAUGAUUUGUCUUGUAGCUUACUCGCUUAUGUUAUUUUACCUACGCUUAGGAUGUUGAGUCAUCACACAUCUCU
Molecule: ribosomal RNA, 774 nt
Filed under: uncultured Neocallimastigales
Lineage: Eukaryota; Fungi; Neocallimastigomycota; Neocallimastigomycetes; Neocallimastigales
Description: partial large subunit ribosomal RNA
Rfam family: Eukaryotic large subunit ribosomal RNA
Source: RNAcentral